Molecule: long non-coding RNA, 504 nt
Organism: Daphnia pulicaria
Lineage: Eukaryota; Metazoa; Arthropoda; Branchiopoda; Diplostraca; Daphniidae
Exons: 4
Source: RefSeq, a predicted model, not a curated record
CAGGGUAGUAGGGGAAAACGAGUGCUGCCGCGGUGGCCAAUUGGUCGAUCCAGAUUUGUUGAUUUCGGCGGCCACUUUGUUUUUUCUUAAAUAGGCCCGUAUUUUUUUACUGUAUUUUCUUAUUUAUCAUCAAUAUUUGAGCUUUUUAGUGGUGUUUUUCGUACUCAGCUUUCAAAUUUACCCUAUGUACAUCUAUUUCCAGUCAUUUUGUCUUAAUUUUUUUACCAGUUAUCUUUCUCUCUCUUGCCUAUAGGAACUGUCAAAAUGGUGAUAUUUCCUUCAGUAACCAGCUUUUUUCCCAUCAAAACACCCCUAUUUUCUUUGUAAAAUAUCAAUUAUGGGGUAGGGCUUGGGACCCUUUUUCUGAAGAAAUUACCAGUAUUAUUGGUUAUCAGUGGAAUUUUCUUCAUCGUUAACUAUGAAGGCUGGAAUAAGAACAUGUUCCUGUGUUAAACAACCCCAUACACAUUCAGAUUCAGUUAUAUAUUCUUAGUUUAGUUAAAA